UGUUCUUACUGUUUUCAAUGGCUCGCUUAGUGAGAGCUUUUUUUUUUUUAUUUUUAUUUUUUUUCACAUUCGCUGCUGGACUUUCUCCAGUUGUUUUACCAGUUCUUUCAUCCAUACCUUCUUCUAAAAUCUUUAUUGUCCUCUUUAGUCUCUGAAUGUGCACAUGAAUACUGUUCUUUUUUAUUAUUAUUAUCUGAACCAUUGUUUCUCUCUCUCUGCCUUCAAAAUUUUCUGCCAGGAACAAGAAUUCUGCACACAGUGUGGCAGAAAGCCUUUGUCCUUACUGCCCCGAGGAGGAACAAGUGUGAAAUGGGAGCAGUAAUUACUUCCUGUGCUGUAAAGUCAUUGAGAAGUUUCAAGGCAUGUCGUUCUGGGUGAUGAGAAACAAAACUGAACAAAGUAGAAAUGUGAUCAGAAAAACAAUGAGAGCAGAACUUGAUCUGCUUGCAGGAAAAAGAAAUACAGAUGCAGUAUUUUACAGGUGC
This 485-nucleotide long non-coding RNA is filed under the name Coturnix japonica (Japanese quail). Its description in RNAcentral is "lncRNA (ENSCJPG00005018345.1)". The record is from RNAcentral. Lineage: Eukaryota; Metazoa; Chordata; Aves; Galliformes; Phasianidae.